CCUUUUGCACAAUGCGUACACACGUAAGGAAAGUCUCUGUUAUGACAACGUCUGUGCUUCCUUAACCUUAAUCGUGUUUGAAAAGCUUUGAGACAAAUAUCACAUUCGAACGCAGCUUGACUCGCAUGUUUCCUACAAUGUAUCUUAAAAUCAUAGUGUCUUUCGAAUGUCUUCUUACAGUCUAUACAAUGAUACCAUUUUUCAUUAGAAUGAAUAGGCAUAUGUGCCUCAAGAUAUUCUUGACGAUUGAACUUUGCAUCGCACUUCUUACAUGAGAAGAUUUCGACUUUAUGUGCUGAUAGAUGCCUGUCGUAGUUAAUAAAACUGUCAAACGUUUUCAAACAUAUAUUGCAGGUUGUUGUACUAAUUUUGUGAAACUGCAUGUGAAGUCGUAAAUGUUGGCGCAUGCCAAAUGCCUUCCCACAGAUACGACAACCAUACGGUUUGGUGUCUAGAUGUUGUAUCAUGUGUUUGAAAAAAUUUCGAUGGUCUAUAUAGCAAUUUCCGCAAAUUAAGCAUUUAUAUGGCUUGUGUGUUCUCUCAUGAAGUUUAAGAAAAUACCUACUUACAAAUUUUGAAUGGCAAAACGAACACGGAAACAACUUAAUCUGAAUAUGCGAGUACAUAUGAGCUUGAAGGUGACACUUCUGAAUGAAUGAUUUGUCACAAACUUCACAAGUAUGAGGGCGACUUUCGGAAUGCAUCUUUAAAUGUAUUCGAAAUGAAUGAAGUGUUCGAAAGCUUUUAUUGCACCGUUUACAUAUCACAUUCGAGGAGUGCUCCUUUUUCAGGUGGAACCGUAAUUUAUUACGUAGAAAGAAUCCUUGGUCACAGACGACACAGUUAUACGGGGCUUUCCUGUCACUAUGGUUAUCAAAUGCUUUAACCCCAUUAUGUUUACAGUCAUCAAGGUAUUUUCUUCUUAUUUCAUGUCUGUAUAAUCCUUCAUGAUAUGAUUGAUAAUGACCAACUUUUAAAUCGAUAUAAAAAUCUUUUCUUUCUUUGUUUUUC
Molecule: long non-coding RNA, 1011 nt
Filed under: Mytilus galloprovincialis (Mediterranean mussel)
Lineage: Eukaryota; Metazoa; Mollusca; Bivalvia; Mytilida; Mytilidae
Source: RNAcentral